This 229-nucleotide unclassified non-coding RNA is filed under the name Mycoplasmoides genitalium. Lineage: Bacteria; Bacillati; Mycoplasmatota; Mycoplasmoidales; Mycoplasmoidaceae. The record is from RNAcentral.
UAGUAACGUGUCUAUUAGAUAAACGCUGAAAGCAUCUAAGUGUGAAACUAUCUCAAAGAUUAAUCUUCCCAUUUCUGUUAAAGGAAAGUAAGAGCCGUUAUAGACCAUGACGUUGAUAGGUUACGGGUGUAAGCAUAGUGAUAUGUUGAGCUGAGUAAUACUAAUUGCUCGAGGACUUAUUGGUUGAUAAAAGGUAUUUAUCAACUAAAAGAUUGUCGUUUUUGUUUGG